Molecule: unclassified non-coding RNA, 215 nt
Filed under: Hevea brasiliensis (rubber tree)
Lineage: Eukaryota; Viridiplantae; Streptophyta; Magnoliopsida; Malpighiales; Euphorbiaceae
Source: RNAcentral
GUUGCAAGGAAUAUGAUGAGGAUGUUGGAGACACAUUCCCGUGGAGAAGACAUAGGAAAAACACAUCCGAAAAUGGCUCCGUUAGGAGAACAAUGAGUGCAGGCCCGAGAAAAGUUGUAUCUGAAAUUUUUUGUGAUUCACAUUGUUCUCCAGGUCUUGAAUACAAGACUAAGAGUAUUAGUGACAAUAUACAACAUAUGACAAAUAAGUUCUUG